AAUCUUAUAGUAUAAUGUAAUUAAAAUAUAUCAAUUUGCAAAAUUGAAGAUAUCAUUUUGGUUAAGAUUU
This 70-nucleotide transfer RNA is filed under the name Tanystylum sp. JZ-2022. RNAcentral's name for it is "tRNA-Cys". Lineage: Eukaryota; Metazoa; Arthropoda; Pycnogonida; Pantopoda; Tanystylidae. The record is from RNAcentral.